RNAcentral lists this small RNA (613 nucleotides) under human gut metagenome. The record is from RNAcentral.
GAUAAGGGUGGCGCAGUAUCCUAGUCGGAACGAUUGAUUCCCAGGACGGGCCUAAAAAUCCGUUAAAGGGCACAUCGAUGAAGUCCCUGGUGCUGGCUUCCGACGCCCAGUCGGGGGUUUGUGCUGGGGGUUAAGGUUUAGGGGCGGACUGCAAUGGCAUGCAGUGCCCGACCCCUUUUCCGCGGAGACCUAUUCUCGUGCCGUGACAGUGCUUGCAAUAUGCGACACAGGGCGGUACGGCUUAGGAUUAAACCUGUGUAGCGGUGCACAUUUGCGCUGUUUGCAGAGUAGCCUGCCUUGAGUGGGCAUGAAGGAUAGCGGAUCAGACUUUCCUAUGUUGGCCGACAUUUGAAAGUUAUUGCUGCUUGAAACCAUGUCUGCAAAAGAGGAUAAGAAUCAAUUAUACCGCCGAGGAAAUCUCCUAGGCUGUUCACUAAAUGAGAAGCGCGGAGGAUUGCAGUGCGGACUAAGUGGCGAUCCGGUUUCGGCAGAAAUGCCGGGUAUUGUUUAAUGGGAAACCUCCCGGAGCGGCAACGCGCGGGCACAAAUGCGGGAAAGCCUACCGGACCUAUGCCGCAGAUUUUACUUCACGCUUUGCCCCCUUUUUUAUUUU